GUGCUUUUUAGGCAGCACAUACACUAAAAUUGGAAUGGUACAGAGAAGAUUAGCAUGGCCUCUGUGCAAAGAUGACACACAAUUUCAUGAAGCAUUCCAUAUUUUU
Small nuclear RNA from Grammomys surdaster, 106 nucleotides. Lineage: Eukaryota; Metazoa; Chordata; Mammalia; Rodentia; Muridae. The record is from RefSeq and is a predicted model, not a curated record.